UACGGGAGGCAGCAGUGGGGAAUAUUGGGCAAUGGGCGAAAGCCUGACCCAGCGACGCCGCGUGAGGGAAGAAGGUCUUCGGAUUGUAAACCUCUUUCAGCAAGGAAGAAGAAAGUGACGGUACUUGCAGAAGAAGCCACGGCUAACUACGUGCCAGCAGCCGCGGUAAU
Molecule: ribosomal RNA, 170 nt
Filed under: uncultured rumen bacterium
Lineage: Bacteria
Description: partial 16S ribosomal RNA
Rfam family: Bacterial small subunit ribosomal RNA
Source: RNAcentral